UUUUAUGAUUUGGCCGCCAUUUGUCAAUCUAUCAAUUUACUUCACGUUUCAUAAAAUCGAGUGAAACUUUCGUAGUGUUUAAAUUCUUUUUGGAGUUUCGCUAGGCUAGGCCUCGUUAAAGUGUUCUGUGGGCUAGGCUGAUCUAAUCGAGCAUUCAGCAUCAUAGAGUGCGCCGGGGUUUGACAGCCAUAAAAAAAUCGAAGUUCAUUCUCAAACAGAUUUUGAAGAGUUUGUAGUUUAAGAACAUCACAUCAUUGACCUUCUAAUGAGCAUAGAAAAUUCAUAAAUAAUUUACAAGAAAUGCUAAAAUAUAGAAAACCAGCAAUAGAUGGUGCGUGGGAAAGAUCAACAUAAUGUGGGUAUAGUUUGUCUUGUUUACAAAUUUUCCGAUGAUAGGUUUGUAUUCUAUAAAGAGUAAGAUCGUCUGAUUUGUUACAUUUUUAUAUUUUAUAUGGGGCGUAGUUCGUUACAAUAUUCAUGGGUCAAUAUUUAUGUUAUGAUAUAAUUAUUACUGAACGUUAAACUUAGAAAACUUAAAUAAGAAUUUUAAUUCUCCACGUCUGCUGAUGAUGGGAUUUGGAAAUAAAGUUAUUAUAUCUUCAUCAUAUAUAGAACUAAUAUCGUCAACGUGAGGAUAAUAAAAUAAUUCAGUCUUUCUCUGUCUUUGCAAAAAUUUGAGCGUUGGUUUUCCAUCAUUAUAAAUUUUUAUAUUAUAUGUCCAACGAAAUGUCUGACUGUCUUUUUAGUACAAUAUUUGACUUAUACCAGUCUUCUAUAGCUCUUAUGGCUGCAGCAUUUUCCACUGACAGAAGUGGAUCUUCAUCAAAAAUUAUAUUUCCAUAUUCCCUGUUCAUGUUUUGAAUUAUUUCAGAAUUUUCAAUCGACAGAAAAGGAUCUUCAUUUUUAUUACAAAUAAUAUUUUCGUCAUUACUUAAAGCUUGAAAUUUUUCAAUAUUAAUAUAAUCCAAUGCAUCUGAAUUAUACAACGACAUUAGAUUCAUUGCUUGAGGAACAUGAAGAACGAGUCGUGUUCUUCUUCUUAAUUAUUUUCUAAUUUCCUUUCCCCUUUUUACUUGUUUUUUCUUGCACAGUUUUGCUUUAUUCUAUGGCUUCAUUUGUCUUUUCAACUUUUUCUUUGAUCAAUCUUUCACUCUCUCGUAUCCGUUCUAGAACUUCUUCGUUUGUUAUAAAUUCUGCUCCGUAAGUAAUCCUCUUUCUCUUAAUGUUUUCAGGUUUACUUGAAUUUGCACAUUUCACUCGCGAUAGUAGCAAAUCUUUAAACGUCAUAUUAUUUCCUUGCAAAGAUAUGGGAGUUAAUACUUCAAAGCUAUUAUUUCCCAAAGCAGGCGAAUGGUUGACAACUUCUCUUCCAUGUAUAUUUGUCAUCGACAUUGUAGACAUCCUUGAAAUUGAUGACAAAGGUGAUGGCGCAUUUUGUAAAGGAAAUUUAGAAAAUAUAUCAAAGUGUGUUUGUAACUACAUUUUGAGUUAUUGGUGCAUUAAUAGUUGAUGUCAAAAUCUGUCAAUGUGAUAGGAAUCGUUGAAGUUGAUGGCAAAGAAGUGCCUUCUUGCAACAAUAGCAGAGCCAAAUCCAAAGGAAAAUUUACUUCACUAUCUGGAAUUGACAACGCUUUCGGCGAUUACGCUAUAUCAGAGGAUAGUCUUGCUGCUGGCUGGGUAUUGGAGAAAGUACGAACAUUGAAGGGGUUUGUUGUGAUAGCAAUUUCGAAAUCAUCUAUGGUAGGAAUUAUCGUUGGUGUAAUUGAGAUAGAAUCCGCGUUACCAUAUUAAUAUCUUCAUAUCGUUUCUUUGCAUUAUUAUUUUGCCCUUCUUUCCAUCUCUAAUGAAUUCGGAUCAAACUUAUCGUCGCUUAUCACACUGUCAUCACACGGGUAAAUUCUACCUUUUCUAAAUCCAUUUUUUUUGUUAUGGCCAACACUUUCGAGCUGAUCGAAAGUGUUCGCCAUAAUAAAAGCAAAUUCGUUCUUUGGCAAAGCUUUUCCAAUAUUCAUUCUUUGCCACCUCACCAACUUUUCAUCCCAUGAACCUUUAAGAGAUUUCAUGACCGAUAGAUCUAAUGGCUGUAGUAAGUGGCUCGAAUGGGGUGGACUUUUAAGAAUAGUCACAUUGGCUUUUUUUGCUUCUUCAAUGACUUGUAAAUCAAUAUGUGUAGAAUGUCGAUCAUAUGUAAGCAAUACAGGGCGAGAGUUGCCAAUAGCCUUAAGGAAAUGUUUUACGAAGUAAUUUAGAUUUUACCUUUGUGAUUUAUGACCGUGUCUGCCACUAACAUGAUCCAUCAACGUAGUUAUAGGUAUAUUGUAUCGUACUGCCGCCUCGUACCCACUAUAGACUCCUGAUCUUGCUUUAAUUACUGCCUCCUCCAGUUUUUCUCUAGUGCUGUCCUCGUUCCGACUUACUGACGUAAUGUCGUGGCAUUUCGCCCAAAAUCCUAGAAAUAUAUCCUAUGUUUAUAAACCUUUAAAACGGUUCCAGAUGACGCUAUCCUAACAAAUAUUAAAUCAAAAAACAACUGUUAAGGUAUCAAAAAAUGUAUAAAAUCUCUGAAAAAAAUAAAGAUUAUUUAUCUGGGCAGGUAUCUCUGGAUAUAUAUGGUGCCUGACGGUGGCACACGUGAAUUUCACGAAAUUGGUUAUUCGUCGUGUAUGGUUGGUUCAUUUAGGCGUUUAGCUCCAACUUGUGUUAAUUU
This is a long non-coding RNA of Leptidea sinapis, 2707 nucleotides long. RefSeq lists it as uncharacterized. The transcript has 2 exons. The record is from RefSeq and is a predicted model, not a curated record. Lineage: Eukaryota; Metazoa; Arthropoda; Insecta; Lepidoptera; Pieridae.